RNAcentral lists this ribosomal RNA (465 nucleotides) under uncultured bacterium. RNAcentral describes it as "partial 16S ribosomal RNA". It matches the Rfam family "Bacterial small subunit ribosomal RNA", at positions 339 to 795 of the family's 1533-position model. The record is from RNAcentral.
CUACGGGGCGCAGCAGUGGGGAAUAUUGGACAAUGGGGGAAACCCUGAUCCAGCAAUGCCGCGUGUGUGAAGAAGGCCUGCGGGUUGUAAAGCACUUUCGGUUGGGAGGACUGCUUCUAGCACUAAUAUUGUUGGAAGUUGACGUUACCUUCAGAAGAAGCACCGGCUAUCUCCGUGCCAGCAGCCGCGGUAAUACGGAGGGUGCAAGCGUGAAUCGGAAUUACUGGGCGUAAAGCGCGCGUAGGCGGCUAGAUCAGUCGGGUGUGAAAGCCCCGGGCUUAACCUGGGAACUGCAUCCGAUACUGUCUAGCUUGAGUACAGGAGAGGAGAGUGGAAUUCCACAUGUAGCGGUGAAAUGCGUAGAUAUGUGGAGGAACACCAAUGGUGAAGGCAGCUCUCUGGCCUGAUACUGACGCUUAGGUGCGAAAGCGUGGGGAGCAAACAGGAUUAGAUACCCCCGUAGUC